AUACGGAGGGUGCAAGCGUUAAUCGGAAUUACUGGGCGUAAAGCGCGCGGAGGCGGAUUGUUAAGUCUCAUGUGAAAGCCCUGGGCUCAACCUGGGAACUGCAUGGGAUACUGGCAAUCUAGAAUACAGUAGAGGGUAGUGGAAUUUCAGGUGUAGCGGUGAAAUGCGUAGAGAUCUGAAGGAACAUCAGUGGCGAAGGCGACUACCUGGACUGAUAUUGACGCUGAGGUGCGAAAGCGUGGGGAGCAAACGGGAUUAGAAACCCUAGUAGUCC
This 274-nucleotide ribosomal RNA is filed under the name uncultured bacterium. RNAcentral's name for it is "partial 16S ribosomal RNA". It matches the Rfam family "Bacterial small subunit ribosomal RNA", at positions 523 to 796 of the family's 1533-position model. The record is from RNAcentral.